GUUGUCCAUUAUAGGACAUACUCCGGCUACUUCACCGAGCGCCUUUUGCCUCCUCCCUCAUCGAACUUUAAAGUGAACGGACUAUGAAAAAUAGGCAGAUUUCCGCGCUUGCGGAGUGAGGUGAUCGCGUGGAAAACACGUUGGAUGACUCUGAAUACAUACGAACUUUGUAACAGAUCUAAAGUUGUGAGGAAAACCCUUAUUACUAUUGAUACAUUUGUAACACUACUAAGAAGUACUAUUGGUGUUUAUUGAAUAGAUGGCAACAUAGUAUUCAUAUGCUUGUAAUUAUGCUGAUGCAUUCUUUCCGCUGGCCACCAGAUGGAGCUGUGGAUACACUGGGGAUUAUGGGUAAAAGAAGUGUUUAAAAGGUCAUUUCAAUUACACUGUUUGUAACUUGCACCAGAGGAAGGAUCCUAGAGGUCCGAAACCUGUAGUGCUGUGAUAAAAUAAACCCACAUUUUGAAGAC
Long non-coding RNA from Xenopus laevis (African clawed frog), 470 nucleotides. RefSeq lists it as uncharacterized. The transcript has 2 exons. NCBI's taxonomy places the organism in Eukaryota, Metazoa, Chordata, Amphibia, Anura, Pipidae. The record is from RefSeq and is a predicted model, not a curated record.